CCCGCAGGCGGCCGCCUGUGGGGUCCUGACAUCGGUACCUGAUACGGCCGGUGCAG
Molecule: non-coding RNA, 56 nt
Organism: Streptomyces tsukubensis NRRL18488
Lineage: Bacteria; Bacillati; Actinomycetota; Actinomycetes; Kitasatosporales; Streptomycetaceae
Source: Rfam